RNAcentral lists this transfer RNA (72 nucleotides) under Cavia porcellus (domestic guinea pig). It matches the Rfam family "tRNA". Rfam says of the family: Transfer RNA (tRNA) molecules are approximately 80 nucleotides in length. The record is from Rfam by way of RNAcentral. Lineage: Eukaryota; Metazoa; Chordata; Mammalia; Rodentia; Caviidae.
GUAAGUGUAGCUCAGAGGUAGAGUAUAUGUUAAGUAUCUGUGAGGCCCUGGGUUCAAUCCCUAGCACCAACA